RNAcentral lists this ribosomal RNA (468 nucleotides) under uncultured bacterium. RNAcentral's name for it is "partial 16S ribosomal RNA". It matches the Rfam family "Bacterial small subunit ribosomal RNA", at positions 28 to 507 of the family's 1533-position model. The record is from RNAcentral.
GAUGAACGCUGGCGGCGUGCUUAACACAUGCAAGUCGAACGGAAAGGCCCAAGCUUGCUUGGGUACUCGAGUGGCGAACGGGUGAGUAACACGUGGGUGAUCUGCCCUGCACUUCGGGAUAAGCCUGGGAAACUGGGUCUAAUACUGGAUAGGACCACUUCUUGGAUGGUGUGGUGGAAAGUUUUUUCGGUGUGGGAUGAGCUCGCGGCCUAUCAGCUUGUUGGUGGGGUAAUGGCCUACCAAGGCGUCGACGGGUAGCCGGCCUGAGAGGGUGUACGGCCACAUUGGGACUGAGAUACGGCCCAGACUCCUACGGGAGGCAGCAGUGGGGAAUAUUGCACAAUGGGCGCAAGCCUGAUGCAGCGACGCCGCGUGGGGGAUGACGGGCUUCGGGUUGUAAACUCCUUUCGCUAGGGACGAAGCGUUUUUGUGACGGUACCUGGAGAAGAAGCACCGGCUAACUACGUG